This 755-nucleotide long non-coding RNA is filed under the name Pan troglodytes (chimpanzee). Its description in RNAcentral is "lincRNA". Lineage: Eukaryota; Metazoa; Chordata; Mammalia; Primates; Hominidae. The record is from RNAcentral.
CUUAAGGCUCCCAAGGCUCCGUUUCUUAUGUGGAAGAAGAAUAGCAGGAGAAUCUCUUGAACUCAGGAGGCGGAGGUUGCGGUGAGCCGAGAUGGUGCCGUUGCACUCCAGCCUGGGCAACAAGGGCUAAACUCCAUCUCAAAAGAAAAGAAAGAAAGGGAAGUAGAAGUAGGAUUUAACAAAGGACCGAGAAGUCGGUUGAAUAGCCAGGUUCAGACAGUGUUGGCAAGAACGGAUCUUUGGCAAGAUCACUUAAGGUGAGCUACUCUAGCAGCAUCCUGUUUGACAUUUGUAUCCAUAACUUGAAUAAGAAUAUAGAAGGCAAAGAAGAGUGCUGGGCAAGAUGUGUUGGAUGUUAGAUCUGCAGUACUCUUCACAGUGUAAUGGCUAAAUGUAAAGUCUUACAUCUCGGUUCAAGAAAGCACGUUGCUAUAUGAAAUUUCAGAAAAAAGUUUUGUUGCGGGGGGUGGGAUAUUGAUCAUUUGAACAUAUGCCAGUUGUUUCUCCUGCCCUAGGGGAGGUUGGCACGGCAACCUUCCCACUCUCUAGGUGGGUAGCCUUGCUGAUGGGGCACGUCGUCACCAAGGGACCUGAUUGUUGUCAUGGUUUUGUCUUGUCCUCCUCCCUGGUGAAAGUCUACUGCAGUUUUAUUCUCAGCUCUGGAGGGAGAGGGAACGAGCCUCUGCCUGUGUGUCCUGACCCCUCUUGCCUUGUUUUUGAUCUGCUCAGGCCGGGUGCAGUGGCUCACGCCUGUA